This 831-nucleotide ribosomal RNA is filed under the name uncultured bacterium. Its description in RNAcentral is "bacterial SSU rRNA". It matches the Rfam family "Bacterial small subunit ribosomal RNA", at positions 26 to 886 of the family's 1533-position model. The record is from RNAcentral.
AGGAUGAACGCUGGCGGCGUGCCUAACACAUGCAAGUCGAGCGAUUUACUUCGGUAAAGAGCGGCGGACGGGUGAGUAACGCGUGGGUAACCUGCCUCAUACACAUGGAUAACAUACCGAAAGGUAUGCUAAUACAGGAUAAUAUAAGAGAUUCACAUGGAUUUCUUAUUAAAGCUCUGGCGGUAUGAGAUGGACCCGCGUCUGAUUAGCUAGUUGGUAAGGUAAUGGCUUACCAAGGCGACGAUCAGUAGCCGACCUGAGAGGGUGAUCGGCCACAUUGGAACUGAGACACGGUCCAAACUCCUACGGGAGGCAGCAGUGGGGAAUAUUGCACAAUGGGCGAAAGCCUGAUGCAGCAACGCCGCGUGAGUGAUGAAGGCCUUCGGGUCGUAAAACUCUGUCCUCAAGGAAGAUAAUGACGGUACUUGAGGAGGAAGCCCCGGCUAACUACGUGCCAGCAGCCGCGGUAAUACGUAGGGGGCUAGCGUUAUCCGGAUUUACUGGGCGUAAAGGGUGCGUAGGUGGUUUUUUAAGUCAGGAGUGAAAGGCUACGGCUCAACCGUAGUAAGCUCUUGAAACUGGGAAACUUGAGUGCAGGAGAGGAAAGUGGAAUUCCUAGUGUAGCGGUGAAACGCGUAGAUAUUAGGAGGAACACCAGUAGCGAAGGCGGCUUUCUGGACUGUAACUGACACUGAGGCACGAAAGCGUGGGGAGCAAACAGGAUUAGAUACCCUGGUAGUCCACGCCGUAAACGAUGAGUACUAGGUGUCGGGGGUUACCCCCCUCGGUGCCGUAGCUAACGCAUUAAGUACUCCGCCUGGGGAGUACGCU